Molecule: ribosomal RNA, 402 nt
Filed under: uncultured bacterium
Lineage: Bacteria
Description: bacterial SSU rRNA
Rfam family: Bacterial small subunit ribosomal RNA
Source: RNAcentral
UUUUGGACAAUGGGGGCAACCCUGAUCCAGCAAUGCCGCGUGAGUGAAGAAGGCCUUCGGGUUGUAAAGCUCUUUUGUCAGGGAAGAAACACCGGCUCUAACACAGUCCGGGAAUGACGGUACCUGAAGAAUAAGCACCGGCUAACUACGUGCCAGCAGCCGCGGUAAUACGUAGGGUGCGAGCGUUAAUCGGAAUUACUGGGCGUAAAGCGUGCGCAGGCGGUUAUACAAGACAGGCGUGAAAUCCCCGGGCUUAACCUGGGAAUGGCGCCUGUGACUGUAUAGCUAGAGUGUGUCAGAGGGGGGUAGAAUUCCACGUGUAGCAGUGAAAUGCGUAGAUAUGUGGAGGAAUACCAAUGGCGAAGGCAGCCCCCUGGGAUAACACUGACGCUCAUGCACGAA